GAUGAACGCUGGCGGCGUGCCUAACACAUGCAAGUCGAACGAAGCACCUUGAAGUUUUCGGACAGAGAGGUGACUGAGUGGCGGACGGGUGAGUAACGCGUGGGUAACCUGCCUCAUACAGGGGGAUAACAGUUAGAAAUGACUGCUAAUACCGCAUAAGCGCACGAUGUCGCAUGACAUAGUGUGAAAAACUCCGGUGGUAUGAGAUGGACCCGCGUCUGAUUAGCUAGUUGGUGAGGUAACGGCCCACCAAGGCGACGAUCAGUAGCCGACCUGAGAGGGUGACCGGCCACAUUGGGACUGAGACACGGCCCAA
Molecule: ribosomal RNA, 316 nt
Filed under: uncultured bacterium
Lineage: Bacteria
Description: bacterial SSU rRNA
Rfam family: Bacterial small subunit ribosomal RNA
Source: RNAcentral